RNAcentral lists this small nuclear RNA (293 nucleotides) under Heterocephalus glaber (naked mole-rat). Its description in RNAcentral is "7SK RNA". It matches the Rfam family "7SK RNA". From Rfam's summary of the family: 7SK was discovered as an abundant small nuclear RNA in the mid-70s but a possible function has only recently been suggested. Two independent studies have found that 7SK RNA binds the CDK9/cyclin T complex (known as elongation factor P-TEFb). The record is from Rfam by way of RNAcentral. Lineage: Eukaryota; Metazoa; Chordata; Mammalia; Rodentia; Bathyergidae.
GGAUGUGAGGGCGAUCUAGCUGCAAAAUCUGUCAUCCAUUUGAUCACCAGGGUUGAUUUGGCUGAUCUGGCUGGCUAGGCGGGUGUCCCCUUCCUCCCUCACUGCUCCACGUGCAUCCCUCCAAGCUGCGUGCUCAGUCGAAGAGAGUAAGCAUAUCCGAUAGAGGAAGACCAUUUCCUUGGUCAAGGGUAUAGGAGUAGCUAAGCUCCCCUGCUAGAAUCACCAAACAAGCUUUCAGAAAACACACACACACACACACACACACACACACACACACACAGAGUAAUCCCUUU